Molecule: non-coding RNA, 83 nt
Organism: Schistocephalus solidus
Lineage: Eukaryota; Metazoa; Platyhelminthes; Cestoda; Diphyllobothriidea; Diphyllobothriidae
Source: Rfam
GGCCUCGUAGCUCAGUUGGCUAGGGCGUUGGCUGUACUAAAACCUUUCCCUUGCUGGCAUGGGUUCGAAUCCCGCCUAGGCCG